UCCAAUAGUAAAUAUAUAUAAACAUAUAUAAUACGGGUAGUUGAUACUUGCUAAACUAUAAAAAUGUUGCCACAAACAAUAGCUGAUAUUGUAUACGUAUAUCAGUAAGUGAAAUUAGUUUAGGGCUCAUGACACUAUUGCUAGGAAAUCUAACAAUAGAAUGCUCCUAAAAAUUUAAUACUCUUCUACUGUGUAAUAAGCUGCAAUUUUGAUACCUAAAUAAAUCAUUUUUCAUUUUCAUUUCAUUUUUAUUUUAUUCAGUCAUGCAGAAAUCUUUAUAGGUCUGUAUCUCCUAAACCGUGCGUCGUAGAGCAAAAAAAAAUCAAAUUUCCGUUCCCCUUUCCCAAAAGCACUAUCAGAAAAGUGGAUUAAUUAACCACACCACACCACACAAACAUCCCCAUAAACCAGGAGCCAGGAGCCAGGAGCCAGCAGCCAGCGUCCAUAAAUCAGCCUGAAAGCUGAAACCAUCAACCAGGAGUGAACUACUGUAACUGUAACCUGUAACGGGCUUCAUCGGAAACCGGAUCGGAAGAGAUGAAUGACAGAGAUACACAUAGUAAUAGAUUAGCGUAAGUUGAGAUAGUGAAUAUAAUCAUUAUGGCCGAAAACGUUGUUUCAAUCUUACAUAUAUAGUCUCUCUCUCUCGCUCGCUGUCUAUGUCUCUGUCUCUCCUACAUAAUCGAUUCGCUCGCUAUUAAAGAGGCUUAGAAAUGUUUUAUCAAGACAAAAUAAUAUGGAGACACAACUAAAUGCAAUAAAAAACCGAAAAUCGAAGUUCGUCAUUGCGGGCGUUUUCUCUGUCAUUCUAAUUACAUCUUAGUAAGAGUAAAAGAGAAAGAUCUGUGAUGUCUGUUCUCAGUACAAAAUUUAAUAUUCAAGCCGUAGCCAUUUUGGUGGUGAUGGAGCCAAUUAAUAGAAGCUUCGAUAUCUGCACUAAAAAAAAAUAACAUCAUAGAAAUGCUAAUCGAUAAUGAAUACUUUAUGAUAUAUAAUAACUCAAUUAUUACAGAAAACAUAUUUUAUUAGUUGGUUAAAAACCCACAACGCACGCAUGCACAGCUUGCCCACCACCUUGGCCAGCUUGGCUACGGUUUGAGUAUCAAAUUUUGUACUGAGAAUAGACAACGGGUAAUUAUUGUAAAAUCGAACUCACAAAAUCAUACUGGUUGAUAAUAAUAUAUAAAGUUGAAAUCCUUUGUUAAUCGUACAUGAAAUGUGGAAUGGAAUGGAAUAUUAUAUCUAUGGUCUUUUAGUCUAUGAAAGUUUAAAAUCAUAGACUAGACAUCCAUUUCGUAUUCAGUCGCGACAACCGAAUUAUCGCAAAUUGGUGGGACCUUUCUCUUUUACUCUCAAUAAGACGUAAUAAGAGUGACAGAGAAAAAUGCCCGAAAUUGACGAACUUCGAUUUUCGUGGUUGUAGCCUAGUAGAUGUAAAAGUAAUAAGAAAAAAAAGAAAAGAAAAGAAGCAUUCUAAUAGAGUGCAGAUAGAUGAAAUGUGUAAAAAAUGAAUAGAUGUACUUGUGUUUUAUUUUAAUAUAUUUUUUUGUACUUAUAUUGAUAUUGAUGCUGGACAACGGGACGGACAAAAUGAAACGCACGGUGUGGGAAACAUCAAUGAUAUGAUAUAAAAAAAAUUGUUUCCUUGUUGAAAUACUUAAUAAAUAAAUAAAUAAAUAAAUAAAUAAAUAUUAAAAGCUUAAGUGGAGCCCAGACGGGGUGAUCAAAUCGACCGAUGAGAGAUUGGCGUCAAUAUCCAAUUGAAUCAAUAAAAUAAUAAAUUUUAGUUUUAUGGUGAUAUUUGAGCGCUCUAAAUAAAUAAAGAAUGCCCCCAAACGACAAAUUGAUACCAAUCUCAGUUUAUCGGUAAUAUUUGUCAUAAUCGGCGAUCGAAAUCGGCUCGCAGCAUGAAUUGUCGAUCGGACAAUUUGAUCAGAUGGGAAAAAAAUUGUCCCGUCUGGACUGCACUUUAAUAUGAUAAGGAAUCGAAAUAUAGUCUGUCAUGACAUUUCCGUCAGUGGAUGAGAGCGGAAAUUGAAAUAAAACAAAUGUACAGCCGCGAGUUCCAACUUCGAAGGCACCAUUCAGGCAGAAAAUCAUAGAGUACAAAAAAAAAAAAAAAAAAACUCACCGUUGACAGUGACACCGGCCGUCAAAAUCAAAUUUUUUCCUUACUUCGUUGAAUUUUAUUUUAAAAGAAAGUUUUUGAGACAUAAUAUAUGAAUAAAAGUACAGUAACGUCGUUAUGUGUGUCGUCGUAUGUGUGUAUGUGUUGCGUAUAAAUGUUUUGCGAGUAGGUACAUCGGUGCCGAUAAGAAACGGGCACAAAACGCUAGUUGAGAAUGACCGAUGAGGAAAACAGAUGAACACCACACAAAUGAAGAUGGUACGCCGGUCUGGAGGAGUAAUAAUAAUGGACAUAAUAAGAAACGAUUAUAUCCAUGGUACUUUUAAGGUUGCCACCCCUUGGUGCUUACGAAAAACUUACCGAAUACCGUAUAUAACGAAACGAUAUGCAAGAGAGAAACAGAACAGAACAGACAACCCACAACCGUGUGAUGUGGCGAAGGAUUACUAGGGGAGGGCUGACCCCAAAUAAACUGGGAUAAAUAGCCAGGAAAAAGGAGAAGAAGAAGAGUUAAUGCCUCGCCCGUCGGUCCAGUCCGUGGCAGAUGGUUUGGAGUGUCAGUUUGCAUGCAUGCGGAUAAUGAAUACAAGGAUGAUGGCAGCAAUGUGUGAAUUGCGGGAUUGUUCCUGUCUGGGAAAGAGACACGUAAACAUUGUUGAGCCAGACUGCUUCACACCUGUAAUAUGAGAGAAGGUACUAUAUUAAUUGUUUUAAAACAGACCUAUAUAUAAUUAAGUUUUUGGCAAAAAACGAUAAUAAGAGGAGAAAAAACAAACCUAACCUAACCUAACCUAACCUAACCUUACAUGACCUAACCUAAUCUGACCUAACCUUAUGUACCUUUUCUUUUUAUACGGUAAAGGGGCCGGAGUGUGUGUGUGUGGUUGGUGUGGACUUUAUGGUGUGGUGUAGAUAAGGUUAGGUUAGGUCAUGUUAGGUUAGGUUUGGUCAUGUUAGGUUACAGUACCUACAUACAUACAGUACAAAUAUAUGUAAUAUGCAUAAGUAUAUAUUUAUUUAGGUUAGGUUGUUUUUUUUCCCUCCCUCCUUCGUAUAACUAACCUCCCCCCCCCCCCCCCCCCCCUCCCACACACACGCCCUCCGGCCACUUUACCGUAUAAAAACAAAAGGUAGAUAAGGUUAGGUUAGGUCAUGUUAGGUUAGGUUUGGUA
Long non-coding RNA from Cydia pomonella (codling moth), 3300 nucleotides. RefSeq lists it as uncharacterized. The record is from RefSeq and is a predicted model, not a curated record. The transcript is spliced from 3 exons. Lineage: Eukaryota; Metazoa; Arthropoda; Insecta; Lepidoptera; Tortricidae.